Molecule: ribosomal RNA, 521 nt
Filed under: uncultured bacterium
Lineage: Bacteria
Description: bacterial SSU rRNA
Rfam family: Bacterial small subunit ribosomal RNA
Source: RNAcentral
AGAGUUUGAUCCUGGCUCAGAUUGAACGCUGGCGGCAUGCCUUACACAUGCAAGUCGAACGGUAACGCGGGGGCAACCCUGGCGACGAGUGGCGAACGGGUGAGUAAUACAUCGGAACAUAUCCAGUAGCGGGGGAUAACCUAUCGAAAGAUGGACUAAUACCGCAUACGAUCUACGGAUGAAAGCAGGGGACCGCAAGGCCUUGCACUAUUGGAGUGGCCGAUGUCGGAUUAGCUAGUUGGUGGGGUAAAAGCUUACCAAGGCGACGAUCCGUAGCUGGUCUGAGAGGACGAUCAGCCACACUGGAACUGAGACACGGUCCAGACUCCUACGGGAGGCAGCAGUGGGGAAUUUUGGACAAUGGGGGCAACCCUGAUCCAGCCAUGCCGCGUGAGUGAAGAAGGCCUUCGGGUUGUAAAGCUCUUUCGGUGAAGACGAAACGGUUAGUGUUAAUAACACUGACUAAUGACGGUACUCACAGAAGAAGCACCGGCUAACUACGUGCCAGCAGCCGCGGUAAU